UGGGCAGCGGCGCGCUCACGGAGGGGCUCUGAGGAAACUGCAGUCGUCGACGCCUGCGUUGGCAACGCAAAAGCCCAGGAGGGAUAGCGCAGCCGAGAUUCUCCGACAGCUCCCCACCUCUCCCGGCUCUCUGAUCUACCACGUCAGGUAUCCUUCCAAAGAUGGCAGUUCCACUACUGCCCUAGGCUUCAUAAAGACGUCCUAAGCCUCCAGAAGCGGAUACCCACGAGCACCUUUCCGGUCUCAAGGACCGAAUUCAUCCUUCCCUGCACAUCCUUCC
RNAcentral lists this long non-coding RNA (280 nucleotides) under Pan troglodytes (chimpanzee). RNAcentral's name for it is "long non-coding RNA NONPTRT002307". Lineage: Eukaryota; Metazoa; Chordata; Mammalia; Primates; Hominidae. The record is from RNAcentral.